Molecule: microRNA precursor, 90 nt
Filed under: Podarcis lilfordi (Lilford's wall lizard)
Lineage: Eukaryota; Metazoa; Chordata; Lepidosauria; Squamata; Lacertidae
Source: RNAcentral
AUAAGCCAACACCAAUCCCACUUCUUCUGCAUAUAUAUAUAUAUAUAUAUAUAUAUAAAAGCAGAAGAAGUGGGAUUGGUGUUGGCUUUC